CUGCUGGUGGUACUGGUUUGUAUAAAUAGCCGUUCAUCUUCCCUCUGAACCAUCAGACAGAGAAAGGAGUCAGAGCAUUGGACACGAUUAACUUGGACACUGUAAGGUUGUCACAGAUAAACUUCUCAAACCAACAUGAAGACAGUCAGAGUUGCAGUUGUUGUGGCCCUCGUGCUCACAUUCGUCUGUUUCCAGGAGAGCUCUGCUGACCCAAACACUGAGGUAAAAGACUUUAAUUGUACUCACUCGUAAGUAUUAACCAUUGAUGUUUUACAAAGAAAGUAAAAUUUGACACAUUCAGCAGGUUCAAGAACUGGAAGAGACUGUGAGCCAUGAGAACCUUGCUGCUGAAGAGCCAGAGACCGCUUGGAGCUCAUGGACGGUAUGUGGAGCUGAAUUCAGCCUGUUAUUGUGAAGAGUUACAAGUGAAAGUGUUUGUUUUUUUCCUCUCUGUCUGAUGCUCUGUCCACUUAAGCAAAGUGACUGAGUGGUCCUGCCAGUGAUGAACACUUUGUUCAUGUCUUUUGUCCUCACACAGCAACCUACUAACGUAAGAUACAAGCGUGGCUCCAAAUGUAAGAUCUGCUGUGGAUGUUGUACCCCUGGUGUCUGUGGAUUGUGCUGCAGGUUCUGAGGACUCAACAAACACAUUUCUUCUGAUUUGUUUCAAAGCCAUUUUACAACAAUGAAUUUACUAACUGUAUUAUUCGAGAUGCAUGAGUGAAUGCUUGUUUUUUAGCUUUGUGACAGUCUUGUCCUCAUGCAAUGUUGGAGAUUUGCAAACUUUGCCAUUCGUCAUAUCAAUAAAAUUGACAUUGCAGUACA
Molecule: non-coding RNA, 825 nt
Organism: Xyrichtys novacula (pearly razorfish)
Lineage: Eukaryota; Metazoa; Chordata; Actinopteri; Labriformes; Labridae
Source: the annotation of a GenBank genome assembly